ACACGUGCGGGAGUGUUUCGGCGUUUGCUGAUGCGUUUCCGGAAAAUAUGUCCAAGUUCUCUGAGAUGAUAGUGCCGUUGAUCAAGAUAACAAGCGAGAAGGUGGAUGCGGUGAGGAAGAUGGCAGCCAUUUGUCUGGCAAAAC
RNAcentral lists this non-coding RNA (144 nucleotides) under uncultured Stichotrichia. The record is from RNAcentral. Lineage: Eukaryota; Ciliophora; Spirotrichea.